RNAcentral lists this ribosomal RNA (444 nucleotides) under uncultured bacterium. RNAcentral's name for it is "partial 16S ribosomal RNA". It matches the Rfam family "Bacterial small subunit ribosomal RNA", at positions 331 to 792 of the family's 1533-position model. The record is from RNAcentral.
UCAGACUCCUACGGGAGGCAGCAGUGGGGGAUAUUGCACAAUGGGGGGAACCCUGAUGCAGCGACGCCGCGUGGGUGAAGAAGCGCCUCGGCGCGUAAAGCCCUGUCAGCAGGGAAGAAAAUGACGGUACCUGAAGAAGAAGCCCCGGCUAACUACGUGCCAGCAGCCGCGGUAAUACGUAGGGGGCAAGCGUUAUCCGGAUUUACUGGGUGUAAAGGGGGCGCAGACGGCGAUGCAAGCCUGAUGUGAAAGGUGUGGGCACAACCCGCACACUGCAUUGGGAACUGUAUGGCUAGAGUGUCGGAGGGGCAGGCGGAAUUCCUGGUGUAGCGGUGAAAUGCGUAGAUAUCAGGAGGAACACCGGUGGCGAAGGCGGCCUGCUGGACGACGACUGACGUUGAGGCUCGAGAGCGUGGGGAGCGAACAGGAUUAGAUACCCGAGUA